RNAcentral lists this ribosomal RNA (576 nucleotides) under uncultured bacterium. Its description in RNAcentral is "bacterial SSU rRNA". It matches the Rfam family "Bacterial small subunit ribosomal RNA", at positions 925 to 1502 of the family's 1533-position model. The record is from RNAcentral.
ACAAGCGGUGGAUGAUGUGGAUUAAUUCGAUGCAACGCGAAGAACCUUACCUGGUCUUGACAUGUACGGAAUCCUCCAGAGACGGAGGAGUGCCUUCGGGAGCCGUAACACAGGUGCUGCAUGGCUGUCGUCAGCUCGUGUCGUGAGAUGUUGGGUUAAGUCCCGCAACGAGCGCAACCCUUGUCAUUAGUUGCCAUCAUUUAGUUGGGCACUCUAAUGAGACUGCCGGUGACAAGCCGGAGGAAGGUGGGGAUGACGUCAAGUCCUCAUGGCCCUUAUGACCAGGGCUUCACACGUCAUACAAUGGUCGGUACAGAGGGUAGCCAAGCCGCGAGGUGGAGCCAAUCUCACAAAACCGAUCGUAGUCCGGAUUGCACUCUGCAACUCGAGUGCAUGAAGUCGGAAUCGCUAGUAAUCGCAGGUCAGCAUACUGCGGUGAAUACGUUCCCGGGUCUUGUACACACCGCCCGUCACACCAUGGGAGUGGGGGAUACCAGAAGUAGGUAGGGUAACCGCAAGGAGCCCGCUUACCACGGUAUGCUUCAUGACUGGGGUGAAGUCGUAACAAGGUAACCA